Molecule: non-coding RNA, 1230 nt
Organism: Peromyscus maniculatus bairdii (prairie deer mouse)
Lineage: Eukaryota; Metazoa; Chordata; Mammalia; Rodentia; Cricetidae
Source: RefSeq, a predicted model, not a curated record
AAAGAGUCUUCAUGAGGGAUUGUCCAGGUCAGGUUGGCCUGUGGGUAUGUCUGCAGGAGGUUGUACUAAUUGCCUUAAUUGACUAGAGAAGACCCAACAUGAAAGUGAAUAGCAUUAGUCCCUGGUUUGGGGCCCUCAACUCUAUAAAAAUGGAGAAAGCUGGCUGGAUACCAGAUUAGUUCCUUCAAGAGAUGAUGUUCUAGAAGUGGAUGGAAGGCUCUUCUCUAACAAAAGUCCAACAGCAAAAGUGGAAGACAUCAACGUUCUUCAGUCCACGUUCCUACCCUGAACCACCAAUGAAGCAUGAUGUCUUUAUCCCUAUGAGGGAAGAAACUGGACAUGUGGCAACUAUAGUGAACAUCUCAAAACAUUAUCUCCACCAGCCGUACCAGAUUCUGCAUCUGAGAUCAAAUGAAGCUGGGAAGACCUUGACUCCAUUCCUCUUGCAGUGCCUUUGACAGCUGGUUCCUGUAGCAAUACUUCAAGAGCUGCACAACUUUCAACUUUCUCCUUCAAGAUAAUCUCUUUCAACUCAAGCAGGUCUUCCUCAGCUCUACUCUACUGCCAUGCUGUCUACCAUGGCAGCCACUUAGGGCCAGCAGCUAGAAUGGGACAGAACAUGUCUAUGUGGUCAGCUUUCUUCUCCAAAGCUUCUGAUGGAAGACUUUUCUCCUUAGGAUUGAGCACCAUUUAAUACACAGCAUGUUUAGCUCAUGGAGAUUCCUUCUGUCUCUGUCUCUCCCUCUGCCCCCCGCUCUGUCUCCCCUUCCUCUUUACCCUUCUUCCCUCCAUCCCUUCCUCAUUUGCACACAGUGAAAAGCCUGCCUUCCCCCAUUACAUCACAGAUCUAACAUCCUAGGAAUAGCUACCUAUCACCCAGCCGCUCUCUUCACCAGCCGCGCUGGGCUCCUUCUAACACCCCACCGAGGCUCUGCUCCAGACCCUUAGACUGUCAUGUCUUCUGCUCAAAAUCCACUCCCUCCCUCACCUCCUUCACAUCUUUUUCUAAAUGACCCAUCUGCUCUAUAUAAACAGAACUGACUCUCACAACGCUGUCUCACCAGGUGACUUGCUUUUCUCCUUAGGACUGUGGCACCAUUUACUAUCCCACACAUUUUAACUUGUCCAUUUCACUCACUGUCUAUUUCUUGCCCUUAAAGGCAGGAUUUUUGUCUGGACUAGUUAUCUGUUUCAGAAUCUCUAUAUCCUCAAGUUGCGAAUAUCAUCACU